AACACCUCAGCAAGACGGGCACU
This 23-nucleotide unclassified non-coding RNA is filed under the name Mus musculus (house mouse). RNAcentral describes it as "oocyte_clustered_small_RNA8074". The record is from RNAcentral. Lineage: Eukaryota; Metazoa; Chordata; Mammalia; Rodentia; Muridae.